UAACACGGGGGGAGCAAGCGUUGUUCGGAAUCACUGGGCGUAAAGGGCGUGUAGGCGGUUGCGUAAGUGGAAUGUGAAAUCCCCCGGCUUACCCGGGGACCUGCAUCCCAAACUGCGCGACUUGAGUAUGGGAGAGGAUGAGGGAAUUCCUGGUGUAGCGGUGAAAUGCGUAGAUAUCAGGAGGAACACCGGUGGCGAAGGCGCUCAUCUGGCCCAAUACUGACGCUGAGGCGCGAAAGCUAGGGUAGCGAACGGGAUUAGAUACCCCGGUAGUCCUAGCCGUAAACGGUGAGCACUAGGUGUUGGAGGCAUCGACCCCUCCAGUGCCGCAGCUAACGCAUUAAGUGCUCCGCCUGGGGAGUACGGCCGCAAGGUUG
This 377-nucleotide ribosomal RNA is filed under the name uncultured bacterium. RNAcentral describes it as "bacterial SSU rRNA". It matches the Rfam family "Bacterial small subunit ribosomal RNA", at positions 521 to 896 of the family's 1533-position model. The record is from RNAcentral.